This is a long non-coding RNA of Carassius gibelio (silver crucian carp), 1360 nucleotides long. RefSeq lists it as uncharacterized. Lineage: Eukaryota; Metazoa; Chordata; Actinopteri; Cypriniformes; Cyprinidae. The record is from RefSeq and is a predicted model, not a curated record. The transcript has 3 exons.
GAUGUUAAACUGAAAGUGAAACUUACAGUGAAUCCUGAGCUACUAGAAGACAACAUUUGACAAAGACCAAACGUUUUUCAAAGUUCUAUCUUUUAUAUGACCACAGAACAAAGAUCUACAGUAGUGUGGAUUACUCCUGUGAAAUUUUGGCCUGCUAGAGAAACCUCACCUCGCUCUCAAUGAACACUUCAUUCUGUUACCCAGAUUUUCUACCUAACAUGGAAAACAUACUGUCUGUAAAGCGUGAACUGAAAGAAAAUAACAUUACAGACAGCACCCUUCUCUCAAACUUGGACUUUGCUGAGAGAUUCUUUAGAGAUCAUCCUCUAAAACAGUCCUCAAAAUUGGUGGUUAAAGGAGAUUACUUUUGUGUACAAAUUGGUGAGGAUGCCACGUAUGUUUUUACCGUAACAUCAGAAGACAACCAAACCCAUGUCAAUGUCUUUACCCUUUCACGUAAUAAUAAAAUAUUUUCGAUUGAGGCCAAUGCAUUUUACCACCACACCUGCCAGGAUGAGAUUAAAUCCUGUUUUACACAAGCUCAAGAAGCUGUUACUAAAGAGGAUCUGACAAGUCUACACAUCAAAUGCAACAGGUUCUCAGUCACUUAUGCCACUCGCUAUAAAGGUCCAUGCACAACUGUGGAAACUAAAUGUCGGUUAAAGCUAGAGAACAUCACUGCUGAGGGUUUACUCUACAAAAAGGUUUGGUUGCAGAAAGAAAAGCCCACAUGUCAUGGUUUGAUAGCAUGUCUAGACCAUCUCAUUACACAAUACCUUACCGCACCUGAUGCUCCAAAGAGCAACUGUAGUUUCAUCAUACAUGCAGACAAAGAAGUAAUGAGAAUCACUACAGGUGAACAAGAUGAAAGAGAGUAUGUUUUGCUACACAAUGGUAAAGGAUUUUCAAUGUAUCCUCCAUCAUGGCAAUAAACAGUGGUUUGCACAUGGGUGUGGCGGGGGGAUGGGGGGGGUUAAUCACCAACUUUCAAAUAUUGUACCAUACAAUGCCACUACAGUAUAUUACAGUACAGUAUAUUCAAUAUGUAUUUUUAUUAUUAUUUUGUGGCAAGCAAAAAGAUUUACAUCUGCAUGAUAUUUUAACUGUGUACACAGGCAAAAAAUUAUUGUAAUAGAUUCUGUUAUUCUGUACACAGUUCAUUCAUCACCAUCAAAGUAUCGUGAAAUAGGCUAUGUAAAUAAACAGCUUGAAUCUUUGUUAUUUGUGAAGUUUAGUUCUUUGUUUCGCAUGUGUUUUGCCUUCAAUGUUAAAGAUCAGUGUAUGAUUAGAUAUCACUGUAUAAAUCGAUGUACAAAAACAAUUUUUUUUUUUUUUUAAUAAAAAAAAAAUUUCAUCCAAA